AGCUCUACAUACAAACUACCACACUUACAAUCUCCAUGAACCUAAGUGCAUCAGUGGCGCUGGGGAUGCUAUACAUGCCGAAAGUGUACAUCAUCAUUUUCCACCCUGAACUCAAUGUCCAGAAACGGAAGCGAAGCUUCAAGGCAGUAGUCACAGCAGCCACCAUGUCAUCGCGGCUGUCACACAAACCCAGUGACAGACCCAACGGUGAGGCAAAGACAGAACUCUGUGAAAACGUAGACCCAAACAACUGUAUACCACCAGUAAGAAAGAGUGUACAAAAGUCUGUUACUUGGUACACUAUUCCACCAACAGUAUAGCUUUUGACUGCUUUCCAAAAGGCCCUGCUGCAAAAAAGAAGUAUGUCAGUUAUAAUAACCUGGUUAUCUAACCUGUUCCAUUCCAUGGAACCUUGGAGGAGGAAGACCCUCAGUUAUUCUGUCACCCAACCUGGCACAGGACUCUUUGGUCCUACCCGCUUCCCAUCACCGGAGGAGCUUCCCCAGCCGGGAGACCAAUGUUAGAGGAUCCAAGUGACCUAAACAGCUGCUUUAUGAAAUAUCCUUACUUUAUCUUGGCUUAAUAAGUCACUGGCAUCAGCACUGCCAACUCGGCUGCAAUUUUGGACCUUCCCUCUAGAAGGGAGUGUUGAGACUCAAGUCCCACCCAGGCUCUUUAGAAUGGACCACUGAGAGCCACAGGACCGUUUUGGGGCUGACCUGUCUUUCUACGUAUGUACUUCCAGGUUGCAAGGUUUUGAAAUUUUCUGUACAGUUUGUGAGGACUUUUGCACUUUGCCAUCUGAUGUUGUACCUCGGUUCACUGUUUGUUUUUCGAAUGCCCUGUUUUCAUAGAGCCCUAUUCUCUCAGACGGCGGAAUAUUUGGGAAAAUUUUAAAACAGUUAAAAUUUUUAAAAGAUCUCAGCAGACUAAAAAGGAAAAACACAUCUGUACAUGACUGUAUAAUUACAAUUAUAGUACCACUGCAAAUUACAUUAUUUUUUUUAAAACAAAAAAGAUACUUAAAGACCAAAAACUGUGCUGAGAAAGUAUGCCCUACCUAUCUCUGGUAUAUGAUAGGUUAUAUAAAAGGAAAGUAUUAACUGAACUGAAUAGAGGUCUUGAUCUUGGGAAUGCAUGCCAGUAAUGUAUUUUACAGUACAUGUUUAUUAUGUUCAAUAUUUGUAUUUGUGUUCUCUUUUGUUAUUUUAAUUAGAGUAUAUGGAUAUUUUGCAAUAAUUUUAAUAAUUAUUAAGCUGUUUGAAGGAAAGAAUAUGGACUUUUCAUGUCUUGAGGUUUUGUUCAUGCCCCCCUUUGACUGAUCAGUGUGAUAAGGACUUAAAAAAUAAAAAGCAUGUAUGUUUUUUACUGUUUGUAAUAAGUACUUUCGUUAAUCUUGCUGCUUAUGUGCCAAUUUAGUGGAAAAAAACCCUUGCUGAAAAAUUCCCUCUUUCCAUUAUCUUUCAAUUCUGUGAUAUUGUCCAAGAAUGUAUCAAUAAAAUACUUUGGUUAACUUU
Molecule: long non-coding RNA, 1517 nt
Organism: Carlito syrichta (Philippine tarsier)
Lineage: Eukaryota; Metazoa; Chordata; Mammalia; Primates; Tarsiidae
Exons: 3
Source: RefSeq, a predicted model, not a curated record